Molecule: ribosomal RNA, 253 nt
Filed under: uncultured bacterium
Lineage: Bacteria
Description: partial 16S ribosomal RNA
Rfam family: Bacterial small subunit ribosomal RNA
Source: RNAcentral
UACAGGGGGUGCAAACGUUGCUCGGAAUCAUUGGGCGUAAAGCGCACGUAGGCGGUUUGUUAUGUCGGAUGUGAAAGCCCUUGGCUCAACUGAGGAAGUGCAUCCGAAACUGGCAAGCUAGAGUACUAAAGAGGGUCGCGGAAUUCCCGGUGUAGAGGUGAAAUUCGUAGAUAUCGGGAGGAACACCGGUGGCGAAGGCGGGUCUCUGGGCAGUAACUGACGCUGAGGAGCGAAAGCGUGGGGAGCGAACAGG